Molecule: ribosomal RNA, 492 nt
Filed under: uncultured bacterium
Lineage: Bacteria
Description: bacterial SSU rRNA
Rfam family: Bacterial small subunit ribosomal RNA
Source: RNAcentral
AUUGAACGCUGGCGGCAUGCCUAACACAUGCAAGUCGAACGGAGGUAGGGGCAACUCUACUUCAGUGGCGGACGGGUGAGGAAUGCGUCGGAAUCUACCCUAUGGUGGGGGAUAACACAGGGAAACUUGUGCUAAUACCGCAUAAUGUCGAGAGACCAAAGCAGGGGACCGCAAGGCCUUGCGCGAUAGGAUGAGCCGACGCCCGAUUAGCUAGUUGGUAGGGUAAAGGCCUACCAAGGCGACGAUCGGUAGCUGGUCUGAGAGGAUGAUCAGCCACACUGGGACUGAGACACGGCCCAGACUCCUACGGGAGGCAGCAGUGGGGAAUAUUGCGCAAUGGGCGAAAGCCUGACGCAGCGACGCCGCGUGGGGGAUGAAGGUCUUCGGAUUGUAAACCCCUUUCGGGAGGGAAGAUGGAGCGAGCAAUCGUUCGGACGGUACCUCCAGAAGCAGCCACGGCCAACUUCGUGCCAGCAGCCGCGGUAAGUCUCG